This 497-nucleotide ribosomal RNA is filed under the name uncultured bacterium. RNAcentral describes it as "partial 16S ribosomal RNA". It matches the Rfam family "Bacterial small subunit ribosomal RNA", at positions 28 to 507 of the family's 1533-position model. The record is from RNAcentral.
GAUGAACGCUGGCGGCGUGCUUAAUACAUGCAAGUCGAGCGAACAGACGAGGAGCUUGCUCCUCUCACGUUAGCGGCGGACGGGUGAGUAACACGUGGAUACCCUACCUAUAAGACUGGGAUAACUUCGGGAAACCGGAUCUAACACCGGAUAAUAUAUUGAACCGCAUGGUUCAAUAGUGAAAUACGGUUUUGCUGUCACUUAUAGAUGGUUACGCGCUGCAUUAGCUAGUUGGUAAGGUAACGGCUUACCAAGGCGACGAUGCGUAGCCGACCUGAGAGGGUGAUCGGCCACACUGGAACUGAGACACGGUCCAGACUCCUACGGGAGGCAGCAGUAGGGAAUCUUCCGCAAUGGGCGAAAGCCUGACGGAGCAACGCCGCGUGAGUGAUGAAGGUCUUCGGGUCGUAAAACUCUGUUAUUAGGGAAGAACAAAUGUGGAAUUAAAUAUGCACGUCUUGACGGUACCGGAUCAGAAAGCAACGGCUAACUACGUG